UACGUAGGUGGCAAGCGUUGUCCGGAUUUACUGGGCGUAAAGAGCGCGCAGGCGGCCAUGCAAGUCGAGUGUGAAAGCCCCGGGCUUAACUUGGGAAUUGCGCUCGAAACUACGUGGCUGGAGUGUGGCAGAGGAAGGUGGAAUUCCACGUGUAGCGGUGAAAUGCGUAGAGAUGUGGAGGAACACCAAUGGCGAAGGCAGCCUUCUGGGCCAACACUGACGCUCAUGCACGAAAGCGUGGGGAGCAAACAGG
This 253-nucleotide ribosomal RNA is filed under the name uncultured bacterium. RNAcentral describes it as "partial 16S ribosomal RNA". It matches the Rfam family "Bacterial small subunit ribosomal RNA", at positions 524 to 776 of the family's 1533-position model. The record is from RNAcentral.